GCUGGGCAUGGUGGGGCAUGCCUGUAAUCCCAGCUACUCAGGAGGCUGAGGCAGGAGAAUUGCUUGAACCCGGGAGGAGGAGGUUGCAGUGAGCUGAGAUCGCGCCACUGCACUCUAGCCUGGGUGACAGAGCAAGACUCUGUCUUGA
RNAcentral lists this non-coding RNA (148 nucleotides) under Nomascus leucogenys (northern white-cheeked gibbon). The record is from Rfam by way of RNAcentral. Lineage: Eukaryota; Metazoa; Chordata; Mammalia; Primates; Hylobatidae.